RNAcentral lists this ribosomal RNA (1017 nucleotides) under Vibrio cholerae. Its description in RNAcentral is "partial 23S ribosomal RNA". It matches the Rfam family "Bacterial large subunit ribosomal RNA", at positions 115 to 1188 of the family's 2925-position model. Lineage: Bacteria; Pseudomonadati; Pseudomonadota; Gammaproteobacteria; Vibrionales; Vibrionaceae. The record is from RNAcentral.
CGAAUGGGGAAACCCAACUGCAUAAGCAGUUACUGUUAACUGAAUACAUAGGUUAACAGAGCAAACCGGGGGAACUGAAACAUCUAAGUACCCCGAGGAGAAGAAAUCAACCGAGAUUCCGGUAGUAGCGGCGAGCGAACCUGGAUUAGCCCUUAAGCACUCGGUGAAGUAGGUGAACAAGCUGGAAAGCUUGGCGAUACAGGGUGAUAGCCCCGUAACCGACGCUUCAUCGAGCGUGAAAUCGAGUAGGGCGGGACACGUGAUAUCCUGUCUGAACAUGGGGGGACCAUCCUCCAAGGCUAAAUACUCCUGACUGACCGAUAGUGAACCAGUACCGUGAGGGAAAGGCGAAAAGAACCCCUGUGAGGGGAGUGAAAUAGAACCUGAAACCGUGUACGUACAAGCAGUAGGAGCACCUUCGUGGUGUGACUGCGUACCUUUUGUAUAAUGGGUCAGCGACUUAUAUUCAGUGGCAAGGUUAACCGUAUAGGGGAGCCGUAGCGAAAGCGAGUCUUAACUGGGCGCUCAGUCUCUGGAUAUAGACCCGAAACCGGGUGAUCUAGCCAUGGGCAGGUUGAAGGUUGAGUAACAUCAACUGGAGGACCGAACCGACUAAUGUUGAAAAAUUAGCGGAUGACUUGUGGCUAGGGGUGAAAGGCCAAUCAAACUCGGAGAUAGCUGGUUCUCCCCGAAAGCUAUUUAGGUAGCGCCUCGGACGAAUACUACUGGGGGUAGAGCACUGUUAAGGCUAGGGGGUCAUCCCGACUUACCAACCCUUUGCAAACUCCGAAUACCAGUAAGUACUAUCCGGGAGACACACGGCGGGUGCUAACGUCCGUCGUGGAGAGGGAAACAACCCAGACCGCCAGCUAAGGUCCCAAAGUAUUGCUAAGUGGGAAACGAUGUGGGAAGGCUCAGACAGCUAGGAUGUUGGCUUAGAAGCAGCCAUCAUUUAAAGAAAGCGUAAUAGCUCACUAGUCGAGUCGGCCUGCGCGGAAGAUGUAACGGGGCUAAGCA